This 272-nucleotide small RNA is filed under the name Histoplasma ohiense. Its description in RNAcentral is "hypothetical lncRNA". Lineage: Eukaryota; Fungi; Ascomycota; Eurotiomycetes; Onygenales; Ajellomycetaceae. The record is from RNAcentral.
GAUGGUGUUAUUUCCUGCACAUUUUCCCCAGAUACCCCAUCUGGGAAGCCAGUGGAAAUUCAGAUCCUUGUUUCCGACCUAUCUUUAUACCCAAAGGAGCACGAUUACUUUGUGUAUACAACAACUGAAGAUGUUCCCCAGGCGGUUACUGACGCGCUGGAGGAAGCCCAAUCUUAUCUUCGCGGCCUGUGCAUCUCUGACAUGCUCUUACAAAUUACCAGCACCCUGGAGAAAGCUUUGUCUGCUGAUUCAGGCAGUGAUGUUGAUAUGCC